This 442-nucleotide ribosomal RNA is filed under the name Ammodytes tobianus (small sandeel). Its description in RNAcentral is "partial small subunit ribosomal RNA". It matches the Rfam family "Bacterial small subunit ribosomal RNA", at positions 7 to 794 of the family's 1533-position model. RNAcentral also lists the same sequence under 1 other name. Lineage: Eukaryota; Metazoa; Chordata; Actinopteri; Uranoscopiformes; Ammodytidae. The record is from RNAcentral.
CAAAGGCUUGGUCCUGACUUUACUAUCAACUUUAGCUAAACUUACACAUGCAAGUAUCCGCACCCCUGUGAGAAUGCCCUACAGUUCCCUGCCCGGGAACAAGGAGCUGGUAUCAGGCACACUAGUGUAGCCCACGACACCUUGCUUAGCCACACCCCCAAGGGAACUCAGCAGUGAUAGACAUUAAGCCAUAAGUGAAAACUUGACUUAGUCAAAGCUAAGAGGGCCGGUAAAACUCGUGCCAGCCACCGCGGUUAUACGAGAGGCCCAAGCUGAUAGACCCCGGCGUAAAGAGUGGUUAAGAUAAACUUAAAACUAAAGCCGAACACCCUCACAGCUGUUAUACGCACCCGAGAGUAAGAAGCCCAACUACGAAAGUGGCUUUACAACCCCUGAACCCACGAAAGCUAUGACACAAACUGGGAUUAGAUACCCCACUAUG